UGCCUACGGGGGGCAGCAGUGAGGAAUAUUGGUCAAUGGGCGAGAGCCUGAACCAGCCAAGUCGCGUGAGGGAGUACUGCCCUAUGGGUUGUAAACCUCUUUUACAAGGGAAGAAUAAAUGCUACGUGUAGCAUGAUGCCUGUACCUUAUGAAUAAGCAUCGGCUAACUCCGUGCCAGCAGCCGCGGUAAUACGGAGGAUGCGAGCGUUAUCCGGAUUUAUUGGGUUUAAAGGGUGCGUAGGCGGUUUUUUAAGUUAGUGGUUAAACGUCGGGGCUUCACCUUGAUUUGCCAUUAAUACUGUAAG
RNAcentral lists this ribosomal RNA (305 nucleotides) under uncultured bacterium. Its description in RNAcentral is "bacterial SSU rRNA". It matches the Rfam family "Bacterial small subunit ribosomal RNA", at positions 335 to 639 of the family's 1533-position model. The record is from RNAcentral.